UUGGGCUUAAAGCGUUCGUAGCUGGGUUGUNAAGUNUCUUGGGAAAUCUGACGGCUCAACCGUUAGGCGUCUAAGAGAAACUGGCGAUCUUGGGACCGGGAGAGGUGAGAGGUACUCCGGGGGUAGGAGUGAAAUCCUGUAAUCCUCGGGGGACCACCUGUGGCGAAGGCGUCUCACCAGAACGGCUCCGACAGUGAGGGACGAAAGCUGGGGGAGCAAACCGGAUUAGAUACCCGGGUAGUCCCAGCCGUAAACGAUGCGCGUUAGGUGUAUCGGUGACCACGAGUCACCGAGGUGCCGAAGGGAAACUGUGAAACGUGCCGCCUGGGAAGUACGGUCGCAAGGCUGAAACUUAAAGGAAUUGGCGGGGGAGCACCACAACGGGUGGAGCCUGCGGUUUAAUUGGACUCAACGCCGGACAGCUCACCGGAUAGGACAGCGGAAUGAUUGCCGGGCUGAAGACUCUGCAUGACUAGCUGAGAGGAGGUGCAUGGCCGUCGUCAGUUCGUACUGUGAAGCAUCCUGUUAAGUCAGGCAACGAGCGAGACCCACGCCAACAGUUGCCAGCAUAUCCUCCGGGAUGAUGGGGACACUGUUGGGACCGCCUCUGCUAAAGAGGAGGAAGGAAUGGGCAACGGUAGGUCAGCAUGCCCCGAAUUAUCCGGGCUACACGCGGGCUACAAUGGGCAGGACAAUGGGUAUCGACACCGAAAGGUGAAGGCAAUCUCCUAAACCUGUCCGUAGUUCGGAUUGUGGGCUGCAACUCGCCCACAUGAAGCUGGAAUCCGUAGUAAUCGCGUUUCAAAAUAGCGCGGUGAAUAUGUCCCUGCUCCUUGCACACACCGCCCGUCAAACCACCCGAGUGGGGUUUGGAUGAGGCUACGGUCGUUGCCGUAGUCGAAUCUAGGUUCCGCAAGGGGGGUUAAGUCGUAACAAGGUAACCGUA
Molecule: ribosomal RNA, 946 nt
Filed under: uncultured Methanoculleus sp.
Lineage: Archaea; Methanobacteriati; Methanobacteriota; Methanomicrobia; Methanomicrobiales; Methanomicrobiaceae
Description: bacterial SSU rRNA
Rfam family: Archaeal small subunit ribosomal RNA
Source: RNAcentral